RNAcentral lists this ribosomal RNA (461 nucleotides) under Morus alba (white mulberry). Its description in RNAcentral is "eukaryotic LSU rRNA". The stretch from base 321 to 461 matches the Rfam family "Eukaryotic large subunit ribosomal RNA", at positions 1 to 141 of the family's 3401-position model. The record is from RNAcentral. Lineage: Eukaryota; Viridiplantae; Streptophyta; Magnoliopsida; Rosales; Moraceae.
UGCAGAAUCCCGCGAACCAUCGAGUCUUUGAACGCAAGUUGCGCCUGAAGCCAUCAGGCUGAGGGCACGUCUGCCUGGGCGUCAAACACCGAUGCCCCCCCAAAUCCCCUCGUCACUCUCCCCUGAGUGCCCGGGGAGUGUGGGGGUCGGAUGAUGGCCUCCCGUGUCUUGGCUCGCGGUUGGCCCAAAGUCGAGUCCUCGGUCACGGUUACCGUGGUGACAGGUGGUUGUCGGUCGCUCGGUACCCCGUCACGUGCGCCGGACACGAAUCGAGACUCUCUUGAUUACCCCAACGCAUCCCCGUUUGGGUGCCUCUGAUGUGACCCCAGGUCAGGCGGGGCUACCCGCUGAGUUUAAGCAUAUCAAUAAGCGGAGGAAAAGAAACUUACGAGGAUUCCCCUAGUAACGGCGAGCGAACCGGGAAAAGCCCAGGUUGAGAAUCGAUCGCCCCCGGUGUUCGA